GCAAGAAUGAGGCGAGGGUCACCACUUUGUGAACAACAGCGAAUCCACAGUGGGAUCCAAAGGAGUGGUGCUGGCGAUUCAUCAUCGUCUGGGUCGACUCCUUCUGUCUCCAACACUGCACAAGAUUGACGGCCUGAAAAGUUGCUGGACCACCAAGCACUCAUGCUUGAAGCUCCAUGAAGAUUUAUCAGGAGAUAAGUGAGAACAUCAAUUUCUGGGACGGGUCAGCUGGAUCUUCUUUGUUGUGCUCAAGCACAAAGGGAAGCUGCAACGAAUGCUUGGACAUCUUUUCCAGUUUACGGUGAUCACUCAUGCAAGAAGUGAUCAGCUUUCCAAUAUUUCAGCUAACGAGGAAUCCAAUCCACAUCGCAUCCACUCCUCUCUGGCCGGACAACGAGUGGAUCAAAGUACAAAUCUCACAGUAUGUCCAACCCUAGUAACACAGAGGAAACAGAUAUCCAUGACUUCUCACACAGCUCUGGUGGAGGGGACAGCACAGAUAAAGGACAGAGGAGAUGGGGGAAGGGUCUGUGGGAGAAUGCUGAGGGUGAGAGGACCAGCUGGCCACGGGUUUAUUGAUCAGUGCUCACUCUGUGGGGAGGGGUGAUCAGCAACACCUGAUCUCCAUAAUAGUUGAAUCAUCUCAGUGAGAUUGCUGGUUAAUUGUUUUUAAAUACACGCUGGCCACAGCAUUAGAUGCAGUUCUCAAACUACAAGCACAGCUGUACAUGGUGUUUACCGUUCAUUACCUCAUCAUACCGAUAAAUGCUGAAAACUACCUACAUUUAAAACCCUGGCCUCAGAUCCACGAAACUGUGAAUGUGCUAACCAUCAGCAUGGGGUAGUAUUUUAUUUUAUUUCUGGAGUAGUAUUGAGAGUUGAGUAACAAACAACAACAACAACAACAAAUCAUGUUUGGUCUAAGGUACCUUAGAUUUUUUUUAAAAAUUCAAGAUUUUUGCAUAUAGUUUUUAAACCUAAUUAGUACCUCUGUACAUUUAAAUAUUUUUUCUCAUAUUCACUUGGCAUGGUAUUGUAUAUUUUAUUUAAUACUUUUUGUGAAUGUGUUACUUUUUCUUUUUUUUAUAUAAAUCUAAACGAUCUUUUAUUGAACAUUUGUUUGUUGGACUU
This is a long non-coding RNA of Phyllopteryx taeniolatus (common seadragon), 1131 nucleotides long. RefSeq lists it as uncharacterized. The transcript has 3 exons. The record is from RefSeq and is a predicted model, not a curated record. NCBI's taxonomy places the organism in Eukaryota, Metazoa, Chordata, Actinopteri, Syngnathiformes, Syngnathidae.